GCCUGAAGGCAGCAAGACAGAGAGACCAGGGCCAAGGGGCAAAUGCAAAACGCUGCUCUCCGGGCCAGCGCAGCCUGGGGAGGUUCUGAGUGGUCAUCAUGUGGCCCUUCCGCUCUCCCCGCAACUUUCAGGGGUGCUGCUGGCUGUCGGCUUGGCAACUGCGCUGCUGACAGGCCUGGGCCUUGUGCUGAGCCCCCCGCUGGCCCAGACCUGCCCAGUCAGAGCUUGGAGACUCCGGGGGAGGGGCCUCAGGGAGCCUCACGUGCCUGCUGACUGCGUGCCUCUCGGGGACAGGUGAGUCCCUUUCUGCUCCUCACACAUUUCCCAGCCCUGCCCCAGCCUAGGGACCGCCACUGCCCACUCUGGCCCAGCCUACACUCCUGAGCCUGGCAUUGCCCUGUGGACUCAGGAAGGAACGCCCUCCUGAGCUGGCCUGUGGCGCUUGUCACCAGCUCCCCGGGUCCACGUGAGCCCUGCGCCAGCCGUGUGUGUCUGUGCGCUGAGGCUGGGGCUUCCUUCCAGCCUUACCGUCCGUGAAGACCUCGGUCCUCAGGGCUCUGGGGAAGGAGCCAGCUGCAGGCAGAGAGCCGUUCCCCGGGACACAGGUACCACGCCGGCGUGCAGUGAGUCGUCCCUCUCCCCAUCCCCGCUCAGCCUGCCCUCCACACCCCCUGCACCCCAGCCACACACUCUGGGGAGCGUCUCAUGUUUGUGCAGCACUGACAGUUUGCAGGACACUUCAUGCUGUCCUUUGAUCCUCACGACAGAGCCUAGAAGUGAGUGUUUUCAGGUGUUGUCCUGUCCCCAUGUUAUAGACAGAGAGAAUGAGGCUCAGAGAGACGUGAGUGACUUGCCCAAGGUCCCCAGGCAGCAAGCGCUGGAGAGAGGGUGCCACUGGGUUUGAGGCGAGAGCUCUCUGGUCCUCCCUGUGCUGGUCAGGAGCUCCUGGGGCCCCAGGGCAAUUCUCCAGCUGGUGGCUACCUUGCCCUAGCUCACCGCAGGGGCAGAAGCGAGGACCGUUCUCCAGGCUCCCUUUACACAAUCACUCACCCACGCCUGUCAGUUCCUCUUCACACCUGGAGAACUGGGUGUUGCCUUGGUGCUCAGGAGGACCUCGGGGAUCCAACCCUCCCCCUGUGGCCCCGGACCCCAGCCCCGACUGUGAGCAGGAAGUACAUGCAGAGGGGCAUGGAGGGAGGCUCCACGGAAGUGGGCCCUUCACCUGCUUGGGACAGCAUCAGACGAUGGGACAGAGGCCCUAAGUCCUCAUUGACCUGGGUUCACACAGCUUGAAGGUUAAUUCCACUGGUUCUUAACUGCAGAGUUGCAGGGACCACAGGAAGUGGGCUGAACGUGCAAGGGCCAGGGAGGGGGCGCAGAGAAAUGAGUGGUUACAAGCAUGAUCAUGGGAUCACACCAGUACUGGAGUCUUGCUAGCUGUGUGAACCUGAACACAGGCCUCCCCAUAGCACACACCCCCUUACACACACACAUGCACACACAUGCACAUGCCACACACAUGCAUAUACACGCCCACACGUGCACAUACAUCAUACACAUGCACAGAAGCAUGCACAAUCGUGCCAGAACACAUACACACUGUCCAGGGCUGGGCUGGCUCUGUGCUGUCCUGACUAUGCCUUUGCAUGGGGCUUAGAGGCUGGUCAUCCCUCUGCUGGCGACUGUUCUGGACAGUGCCGACACCAAGAACUAACAAGCCAGGACAAGUCAGCCCCUCUCACCCCAUGGCGCCCCUCGUGGGUGAUCUACAGGGUGGGCUGUGCUGAGUGUGGACAGUGUGGACAUAGUGAGGGCUGCUAGAGCCAGAGACUGCCCCUGGCACUGUAACCGUUAAAUGCAGCCUCUAUUCAGGGCCCAGCACAGGGCCGCGGCUCACUGCUGAGAGCUCCCAUGGGAGGAGGGGGCCCAGCGGGUCUGACCUGGGGUGCCAGGACAGGGUUCCUUUGGUCGGAGGACUGGUCCCUGAGGGGAGGGUGAAGUGCCCCUUUGCUGUGGGGCGUAUGACAGGGCAGAUGGAGAGGGGCAUCUCGAUGGAGUGGGAGGACCCAGUCCUGUCUUCUGAAGAUCUGCACUCCCACCCUCGUCCCACCUGACCAGCUGGUAGCUCAGGGGACAGGUCCUAAGCUGGCCACAGAGAGGGAGGAUGGAAAGCAGGCUCCGUCCGGGCCGGGCGGGUGUUGCUCUCAGAGUGAGAGCUGCCCCGUCGUAUCGCCAGCAUGGAUGGGACUUCCCCUUCUCCCGACAUGCACCCCCAGGCCUGGGACAGGGCGGCCUAGGGACUGGCAGUGGACGCUCACUCAGCUUCACAUCCACGUUCCUGCAGGUGCCACCCAGCUGAGCCCCAGGCCAGCAUGGGGCCUCACCCCACGUUUCUUCUUCUGCCUUCAAGACCCAGCUCCACACUCCACAGGGGAACGGCAGCUGCACAGGGGUCUCCGUCCCCCAGACAUGUCCUUCUAGCAGAGCAGAGGGCGUUUGAGGGAGAAGGAGGUCAAAGGGUUAAGGCUCUUCGCGGAGGGACAUUCCUAGGGAUGAGAGAGAAGCCCACUCGGGCCCAGAGACUUGGGCAGGCAGCGGCCUCCAUGGAGGGGCCCCGAUUCGCUCUCCGGGAGGUGGCCUGGGUCACACGCCGCAGCCUGAAGGCCAGAGGAGGCCCCUUAGCCAGAGAAGCACGUGGGGAGCCACACCCUGUGAACACCCUAGAGGACUUCAGCGUCCGCACACUCUAUGACAAGCUUGAGGACCAGAGCCUGCACUUGGUGGCCCAGCUGAGCAAGCACAGGAGCGACGCACUGGCCUUCUACAGGGGCGCCAGCCAGCAACUCCAGGGGCUCAAGGACUUUCUGCAGGGCGUCAGCAUGACCGAGCGGCAAGAUCUGGGCAGAGGUGGAGACCUGGAGAUGGGAGCCAAAGCCACUGCCAGGACAGACACUGGGCAGAGAGAGGAAUGGUGCAGUGGUCACACUGCAGCUUCUCCAAGGGUGCGCUGGCAGCAUCCUCUAGGCGGCACCCCCAGCAUGUCUCCACUGGGCUUUCAGUCGAAGCUCGACAGAAUGAUUGCGGCCCUGGCAUCUGCACUUUCUCACGCACGUGGGCAACCAGCCAGGGCCCACAGGAAGGCCUCCGCUCAGGGGGGUGAACAGCCUCUUCCCUCCUGUCAACAAGACCCUCAACUGGUGAGUGACACGCUCCUGAAGCCCCGGCCUCAGCCCUCGGAUGAGGAGCAUCAAAGUGCAAGCCCCCAGAAGACCCCAGGACCUGGACGGCUCCGUCAGGGUGAUGCCAAAGGAGGGGACACUGAGAGCCCAGUUUCCGGACACAGGCACGGAGCCUUUCCUGAGCUGCAGAGAAAGAUAUGGCAGGUGGAAGACAUCUUGGACGAACUGAAUAAAGAGUUCUUCCAGCUCACUGCUCAAGCCCUAGAGCUCCAGAAAGAAGAGCACCAGCCAGACCACCUGCCCCCAAGGAAACACAGUACAUUUGCGGUGGUUCCCAGCAUCUUCCCUCAUGCAGAGCAGGAAGACAGACCUAACCCAGCAGAGGCAGGCGGCCCAGACAGAAAGAGUGUGGGAACCUGGGCCCUGAAGAGCGAGCAGGCCCUGAUCCUGGCGGUGAGGAGAGCCUGCCUGGCUCAGAGGAUCGAAGGCCUGGACUGGGAGCUGUCCCUGCUCCUCCAGGUGGCAGAGGGCAGCACGUGUGCAGGAUGGAGCCAGCCCAGCCUGGGGAGACGCUGAGUCACCCAGGGUGCUGCGGCGGUCAUCUGUGGCAGUGCCUUCUCCACAAAGAACAUGGCCAGGUUACUCUGCGCACUCCAGGCAGGAAGACGUGGGCGUCGCAGGGGCCGCCCUGGCUGGGAAUGUGAGCUCGGUUAUGGCAUGCUCCUAUCUGGUAACACCCAGGUUUCUUUCAGAGCCUGGACCUCGGCUUGUGCUGAUUGCUAUCUGUGAUCCUUUGGGGUGAGGGAAAAUAAAGUCACACAGGUUGAGAAUAUCAACGUGUGUUCCCAUCGCUGAGUCCAUCCCUCAAUCCUCUCAUCAGGGCACUGGCCAUUGGAUGCUGUGGUCCCCCAAAACCUCACUUGGGGCACCUGGCUUCAGGGGUGAGAUGUGCUUGGGGUAGGGACCAUGAGAACCUAG
This 4157-nucleotide long non-coding RNA is filed under the name Equus caballus (horse). RNAcentral describes it as "lncRNA (ENSECAG00000029164.3)". Lineage: Eukaryota; Metazoa; Chordata; Mammalia; Perissodactyla; Equidae. The record is from RNAcentral.